UACGGAGGGGGCUAGCGUUGUUCGGAAUUACUGGGCGUAAAGCGCGCGUAGGCGGACCUGCAAGUCGGGGGUGAAAGCCCGAGGCUCAACCUCGGAACUGCCUUCGAUACUGCGGGUCUCGAGUCCGGGAGAGGUGAGUGGAAUUCCUAGUGUAGAGGUGAAAUUCGUAGAUAUUAGGAAGAACACCAGUGGCGAAGGCGGCUCACUGGCCCGAUACUGACGCUGAGGUGCGAAAGCGUGGGGAGCAAACAGG
RNAcentral lists this ribosomal RNA (253 nucleotides) under uncultured bacterium. RNAcentral's name for it is "partial 16S ribosomal RNA". It matches the Rfam family "Bacterial small subunit ribosomal RNA", at positions 524 to 776 of the family's 1533-position model. The record is from RNAcentral.